RNAcentral lists this ribosomal RNA (1032 nucleotides) under Triticum aestivum (bread wheat). RNAcentral describes it as "partial small subunit ribosomal RNA". Lineage: Eukaryota; Viridiplantae; Streptophyta; Magnoliopsida; Poales; Poaceae. The record is from RNAcentral.
AUGCUUCAUGCGACAUGGAUACCAGCUUAUUUCAUGAACAUUCCACUAGCUGGUCUUCUUAGGACAACUUCGAUUUCAGAGAGUGCAAACUCGUUUUUUAAGCGCUUCAUCUGUCGAAAGCUCACAUUUGUUGAAUUUUGGCUAAGGUUUUACACUGCUGUGAAAUGUCAGAGGCAGAAUGAGUUGAUUGCUGAUAACACAAGCCAAUACACAACAACUGAAUUGUUAACAUCAUGGGAUAUAGAGAGACAAGCUAGGGCCUUAUUCACACAUGAGAUCUUUGAAUUGUUCCAGGCUCAGGUGCUUGCUGCGAGAGAUGAAUGUGAUGUUAAGGAGACGAUAAAUGGUGAGGGGAUUAAAAUCAUCUCUGUUAGCGAUCAAUAUAAGAAGAUUAGACAAGUUUGUUAUGACACGACAACCAUGAUUGCUAAAUGUUCUUGUAAGCUUUUUGAGUCAACAGGAAUUAUAUGCCACCAUAUUAUCCGAGUAUUGAGGGGUGCCAAGAUAAAUGAAUUACCGAGCUCAUGUGUUCUUAAGCGGUGGCAGAAAAAUUGCAAAAGGGACAUUGUAUUGGACGGGGAAGGAAACGUGCUUGAAGAGAAUUUCAUUGACCAAGUAGACAUGGCCGUGAAAAGGAAGAUAGCUGUUGUCAGGAACACGCUAGAAGAUCUUAUACAUAAUGCUAAAGGGUCCAUGGAGGGAAUUGAAUUGCUCCACACUAGUUUGUGGAAUGUUGAGUUGGGUUUAACCCAGGUCGUACCGGACAUAGCAUGUAGCACACAAGAAAACCAGGAGUCGUUUAUUGGGAGCGCCAUUCCAAAGCAUGUUACCAUCCUCACACCUAUUGAUGUCAAUGGAAGGGGCACAUGCUCUAGAAUAAAGGGACACAGGGAUGGUGUGAAGGGUGGAUCUGGUGAGAAGAGCAGAAGGCUUGGAAUCCAUCAAAAAGUUGUGCGCAAAUGCAGCAUUUGUAAGGAACUGGUGUUCCAUGAUGCAAGAACAUGCUCCAAGAAACAAACGGCACAACAGUAG